This 287-nucleotide ribosomal RNA is filed under the name uncultured bacterium. RNAcentral describes it as "partial 16S ribosomal RNA". It matches the Rfam family "Bacterial small subunit ribosomal RNA", at positions 333 to 637 of the family's 1533-position model. The record is from RNAcentral.
CGUGUCCUACGGGGGGCAGCAGUGGGGGAUAUUGCACAAUGGGGGGAACCCUGAUGCAGCGACGCCGCGUGAGCGAAGAAGUACCUCGGUAUGUAAAGCUCUAUCAGCAGGGAAGAAAAUGACGGUACCUGACUAAGAAGCCCCGGCUAAAUACGUGCCAGCAGCCGCGGUAAUACGUAUGGGGCAAGCGUUAUCCGGAUUUACUGGGUGUAAAGGGAGCGCAGGCGGCCUGCCAAGUCUGGUGUGAAAACCAGGGGCCCAACCACGGGCCUGCAUUGGAGACUGGC